This 460-nucleotide ribosomal RNA is filed under the name uncultured bacterium. Its description in RNAcentral is "partial 16S ribosomal RNA". It matches the Rfam family "Bacterial small subunit ribosomal RNA", at positions 338 to 795 of the family's 1533-position model. The record is from RNAcentral.
CCUACGGGUGGCAGCAGUGAGGAAUAUUGGUCAAUGGGCGCGAGCCUGAACCAGCCAAGUAGCGUGAAGGAUGACUGCCCUACGGGUUGUAAACUUCUUUUAUAAAGGAAUAAAGUGAGGCACGUGUGCCUUUUUGUAUGUACUUUAUGAAUAAGGAACGGCUAACUCCGUGCCAGCAGCCGCGGUAAUACGGAGGUUCCGAGCGUUAUCCGGAUUUAUUGGGUUUAAAGGGAUCGUAGAUGGGGUGUUAAGUCAGUUGUGAAAGCUUGCGGCUCAACCGUAAAAUUGCAAUUGAUACUGGCAGUCUUGAGUACAGUUGAGGUUGGUGGAAUUCGUGGUGUAGCGGUGAAAUGCUUAGAUAUCACGAAGAACUCCGAUUGCGAAGGCAGCUUACUAACCUGCCACUGACAUUGAUGCUCGAAAGUGUGGGUAUCAAACAGGAUUAGAUACCCGGGUAGUC